Long non-coding RNA from Notolabrus celidotus (New Zealand spotty), 638 nucleotides. RefSeq lists it as uncharacterized. Lineage: Eukaryota; Metazoa; Chordata; Actinopteri; Labriformes; Labridae. The record is from RefSeq and is a predicted model, not a curated record. The transcript is spliced from 3 exons.
CCACAUGUUGCGCCAUCUCUCCUGUCCUGUGUGGACUUUAUCGACCUAAAGGUAAAGCUUCAGUGUAACUCAAUGCGGGAGCGUGAAACAAGCGGAUAAUAAAGGUGACGCCGUGCUGUGGCUCACAGUCUGAGGACGGAGAAUCACAGUUUUUACUGAGGGUGCUUUUAGGAUGAUCAGAGAGGGACGGAUUAGAGACAAAUCGGGGACGAAAUGGACACCAAACAGAUCGGCAGCUUAAUCAGAGAAUUUGGAGCCAUUUGGAGAGAGCCUCCAUGCCGCCCAGGAAGCCACUGCGGAGAGUCUUGUGCCAACAGGAGCAUAUGGUGACAUUGGUUUAGGGACAGAGUUAUAAAACAGCAGGAAAUUCUAUUAGCUGCCUUGGAGGUCCAGCCUUUGUGGCUGCUUUGAACAUAUAUUUCUGCAUAACAAGCAGGAGUUUAUGAGGGCAAAUUGAGUUUGGGAAUUUGAACAGAGGCACGCACCGUUUUUAAUGAAAGUGCAGGUGAAAAACUGGGCUGGUCCGGGUACAGUAACUGUCGCGAGGGUUUGGAUUUACCCUCAAUUUAAAGACCAAAAUGAGAAGUUACAGUUUAAGAAUGUAAAGGCAGUUUCAAUAUUUUCAAAAUAAUAUUUAU